RNAcentral lists this ribosomal RNA (254 nucleotides) under uncultured bacterium. Its description in RNAcentral is "partial 16S ribosomal RNA". It matches the Rfam family "Bacterial small subunit ribosomal RNA", at positions 524 to 776 of the family's 1533-position model. The record is from RNAcentral.
UACGAAGGGUGCAAGCGUUACUCGGAAUCACUGGGCGUAAAGGGUGCGUAGGCGGGUCUUUUAAGUCAGGGGUGAAAUCCUGGAGCUCAACUCCAGAACUGCCUUUGAUACUGAAGAUCUUGAGUUCGGGAGAGGUGAGUGGAACUGCGAGUGUAGAGGUGAAAUUCGUAGAUAUUCGCAAGAACACCAGUGGCGAAGGCGGCUCACUGGCCCGAUACUGACACUGAGACCCGAAAGCGUGGGGAUCAAACAGG